RNAcentral lists this ribosomal RNA (253 nucleotides) under uncultured bacterium. RNAcentral describes it as "partial 16S ribosomal RNA". It matches the Rfam family "Bacterial small subunit ribosomal RNA", at positions 524 to 775 of the family's 1533-position model. The record is from RNAcentral.
UACAGAGGGUGCGAGCGUUGCUCGGAAUGACUGGGCGUAAAGGGCGCGUAGGCGGUUUGGCUAGUUAGACGUGAAAUUCCUGGGCUCAACCUGGGGACUGCGUUUAAUACAUCCAGACUUGAGUGUGGAAGAGGGUCGUGGAAUUCCCAGUGUAGAGGUGAAAUUCGUAGAUAUCGGGAGGAACACCAGGUGCGAAGGCGGCGAAUCUGGGCAGAUACUGACGCUGAGGUGCGAAAGCGUGGGGAGCAACAGG